RNAcentral lists this long non-coding RNA (1148 nucleotides) under Bos taurus (domestic cattle). RNAcentral describes it as "long non-coding RNA NONBTAT022345". The record is from RNAcentral. Lineage: Eukaryota; Metazoa; Chordata; Mammalia; Artiodactyla; Bovidae.
CAAAAUACUAAGCACUUCCCUCUUUAUUUUUCUCGUUUCUUAAAAAAAUGACAGUUAUUUUAGGGGUUGGAGAAAAUUUAUUUGCUAUAUUAUUGGUUCUAUGACAUUCAAAGUCACUGAACUUCAAGGAUUAUUUAUUAAUUUCAUCAAUUUGUUGCAAAUUACUAUUUAUAGAAAGAAGUCUAAUCUGACACCAUAUAAAUGUUGGUGUUGACACUGUGUUAAAUUAGCUUAGUUGGUAUAAAAAAAGUUUUUUAUGCUUUGUUUAUAAGACUUAGUUUACCACAACAUGCUGCCCAAGUAGGCUUAUAUUAUAGGAUGAAUAAGUGUAACUCCAACAAAAUUGAUUUGUGAAAACAAGUGGUAUUAGGAAAGCAAAACACAGGUGUUAGACACAGAAUUACUUUAGGGAUGAAUGAUGACAUAAAAAUUUGUCCCAAUUAUUUAUUUUUAAAUACUCAACACAAUAGUUGAAGCCAUUGGCUGUGUUUUAAACCCAGCAUAAUAUGUGAAGAACUUUAAUGUAUGAUUGGAAAGACCUAAAUGAAACUGAACUUUGAGUUACAAUUUUCAUGAAUUAAACAUUACCAUCCAUGGAUAAGUGCUUGAUUGUAGAUCUUGGACACCUGCUCCACACUUGAUUUCAAGUUUAUUGGUAUCUAAUUUUUUAAAGAUUCUUUUGAGCAGAUAAAUAUUCAGGUUUUAGGGUGCUCCAAAUAGGAUUGUGACCUUUCAUGAAAUAUUCCCAUUAGAGGUCACAUGCAUGGAAACAAGAAAGCUUCAUAUUUGUUGCUAAAUCAGAAAAGUAAAAAACAAAAUGGAAAGGAAUGUUUUCCUCUUGCUACGUAUUAAUAAUACAACUACAUGCAUAGAGAAUGCAUGACAAGGUUCCAACACUAAACUUUGAGCAUUCAGUAAUCUGAGAUUUUAAGGUGACAAUAUGCUUGUAUGGUAGGUUUUCUAGUUUGAAAAAAAUCAUUCUAGAGCUAAUAAUAUUUGUAAUUUGUGACCUUGCUGUAACUGGGAAAAGUCACUAUUUUUUGUAUGUAAAAUAAUUUGACCUUUAUUGAAUGUGUCAGUAUGCUUGCUGUUUAAAAAUUCCUAAUUAAUCACAUGCAGAUUAAUGCUAAAUGUUAUCUUUUUUGUAC